Molecule: long non-coding RNA, 1073 nt
Organism: Carcharodon carcharias (great white shark)
Lineage: Eukaryota; Metazoa; Chordata; Chondrichthyes; Lamniformes; Lamnidae
Exons: 3
Source: RefSeq, a predicted model, not a curated record
CUUUUUGUUUUGGUUAGCGGGGCACCGGCGCGCACCAAACCUCCGCCACAAAAGGUAAACUCUCACUUCGGAGCAGCCGGGCGACCCGUCUCCACUCCACCCGGCUAUCCACGGGCGGGUGCGUGCUUGAUUUCUGAAGCCCGCCUUGGUUUGCAAAGAGCAGCCACCUCUCGCUGCAAGAGUGAAACACACUGUUAACUAAUGCUCUGUGCUGACGGACGACCCCAUGCAUUUCAUCAGGUGAAGAAUAAUUGACGGCUAACCAGUCAGCCAGUAGCAAUAAGAGUAUGAAGGAAGGAUUGUACUUCACAGCAGCUUGUGCUUUCUUCCCAACUCCUCACCCAGAAAAGCAUUUUUGCCCCUGAUCACCAUCCAUUGAAUCCCCUUGUAAAGUGCAUGCCUGAGAAAGUUGGACAAUGUUAAGAUUGGAUGCAGCUGUUAAGCUCCCAGGUUUAAUAGUCUGUUCACGGUCACUGCCUCACAAGGGGUAGCUACUGCUCAUUUGUUGUUGGGACAAAAUCCUGGAACUCCCUAUAAAACAGCACUAUGGGAGCACCUUCACCACCACAUGGACUCCAAUGGUUCAAGCAGGCAACUCACCACCUUUUUCUCAAGAGCAUCUAGGGAGAAGAGAUCAAUGAUGAUGAAGCUCAGCUCCGGAGAAUAAAUUUUUAUAUAAAGUCCUUAUGCAACCGUGACUUAACACGUGUCAGCUCCUUGGGUGGGGGGAGGGGGAGAAAGGCAAUCGAUGAACAAGAUAAUUAAUUAAGAAUAAAUUGUCGUAGUCUUUUCCAUGUAUGAACUUCAUGUAAAAAGCUUUAUGUGAAAAUCAACCUUCAGAGACUUCAAAACACUUCAUUAUUCAAAAUUGAAUUGUGAAGGCUUUAGUUUUCUAGUGCCAUAUGUAAAAUUUAAAUUGGCUUCUUUACUAGUAAACAUGAUUUUCCAGUUGAAAGCCAGAAAUAACUUCUUGCAUAGUAUCUUUGGUAAAUGUAUUUUGAUAACCACAGAAAUGAAAUAUUUUAAUUCCAUGUAAGUGAUUGGGUUUUAAGUGAAUAAAAUGUCAGGCUGUA